This 253-nucleotide ribosomal RNA is filed under the name uncultured bacterium. Its description in RNAcentral is "partial 16S ribosomal RNA". It matches the Rfam family "Bacterial small subunit ribosomal RNA", at positions 524 to 776 of the family's 1533-position model. The record is from RNAcentral.
UACGUAGGGUGCGAGCGUUAAUCGGAAUUACUGGGCGUAAAGCGUGCGCAGGCGGUUCGCCAAGUCAGGUGUGAAAUCCCCGGGCUUAACCUGGGAAUUGCGCUUGAAACUAGCGGGCUUGAGUGUGGCAGAGGGGGGUGGAAUUCCGCGUGUAGCAGUGAAAUGCGUAGAGAUGUGGAGGAAUACCGAUGGCGAAGGCAGCCUCCUGGGCCAACACUGACGCUCAUGCACGAAAGCGUGGGGAGCAAACAGG